This 73-nucleotide transfer RNA is filed under the name Coccomyxa sp. Obi. It matches the Rfam family "tRNA". Rfam says of the family: Transfer RNA (tRNA) molecules are approximately 80 nucleotides in length. RNAcentral also lists the same sequence under 1 other name. Lineage: Eukaryota; Viridiplantae; Chlorophyta; Trebouxiophyceae; Coccomyxaceae. The record is from Rfam by way of RNAcentral.
AGCGGAGAAGAGAAAUGGUUGUCUCGUCAGGCUCAUAAUCUGAAGAUUGUAGGUUCAAUCCCUACCUCCGCUC